AAGGCAUCGUCAAUGGUUCACCUUGACUGCCGAUCUGGCAGGGUUUGGAAUCAACGAGGAGAUGUACCUCUGGGUGGGUCUGUGAAGGAAUUUCCAGGAAGGAAUAGCCAAGGUGGGGAAUGCAUCUUUGGAUCGCAGUGAAUCUAACAUACUUCAAAAGAAAAUUGAAAAAUAAAACCUAUAGAUGCAGUAAUUUGAAACUUCAUCUGAAAGAGACACUCAAGCCAAAGAGAGUAGAAGAAAGUGACAACAGAAAAGGACGUUCAUCUACAGGAUGUGAAAAUUCUUCAUAAAGUCAAAAAACGUAAGAUAUAACAAAGCCGUCUAUGCCAGAAAAGACAGGGUUUCUCUGCUGCACUGUCUAGCCUGGAACUUGAUAUAUAGACCAGGUCUAUGAGGAGUCACUGCUCAUCUCUUGAACAGUCUCUGCCUUGCUGGUCUUUAUGAUUGGUGCUCAUUUCUGAGGUUAUAGAGCCAUGAUGAUCCCCCAAAUUCCUCGCCUCUUGCUCUACAUGAUGAUAUAUGGCAUUGCUUUAGUUGUCUAUCCAGAGUUAAAUGACCCUUGGCCAAAUGUCUCGACAAACAUCAACUCCAGAUGUUAGAUCCUUGGGAGUGAGUCCUAACUCGUCCAUACCCACUACUCUGUCUGGGCUUUCUGCAAUCCAAUAGUCUUCCUUGAAGGCAAUAAUUAACUGAGUGCUAUCACAUGCUUACAUAAUACAACAGUGGUGCCAUUCUGUAUUAUUUUGGAGAAAAUGAAAUCUGAAUUCCUCAUUUGAGCUCCAAGUUCUAGUAACUUCAAUUAAAUAAAUAAUCUUUCAG
Long non-coding RNA from Mesocricetus auratus (golden hamster), 822 nucleotides. RefSeq lists it as uncharacterized. The record is from RefSeq and is a predicted model, not a curated record. The transcript is spliced from 4 exons. Lineage: Eukaryota; Metazoa; Chordata; Mammalia; Rodentia; Cricetidae.